Molecule: ribosomal RNA, 514 nt
Filed under: uncultured bacterium
Lineage: Bacteria
Description: partial 16S ribosomal RNA
Rfam family: Bacterial small subunit ribosomal RNA
Source: RNAcentral
GAUGAACGCUGGCGGCGUGCCUAAUACAUGCAAGUCGAGCGAACAGAUGAGAAGCUUGCUUCUCUGAUGUUAGCGGCGGACGGGUGAGUAACACGUGGGUAACCUACCUAUAAGACUGGGAUACCUCCGGGAAACCGGGGCUAAUACUGGAUAAUAUUUUGCACCGCAUGAUUCAAUAGUGAAAGACGGUUUCGGCUGUCACUUAUAUAUGGACCCGCGCCGUAUUAGCUAGUUGGUAAGGUAAUGGAUUACCAAGGUGACGAUACGUAGCCGACCGGAGAGGGUGAUCGGCCACACUGGAACUGAGACACGGUCCAGACUCCUACGGGAGGCAGCAGUAGGGAAUCUUCCGCAAUGGGCGAAAGCCUGACGGAGCAACGCCGCGUGAGUGAUGAAGGUCUUCGGAUCGUAAAACUCUGUUGUUAGGGAAGAACAAAUUUGUUAGUAACUGAACAAGUCUUGACGGUACCUAACCAGAAAGCCACGGCUAACUACGUGCCAGCCGCCGCGGUAA